AGAUAAUAGAUACCCGGGUAGUCCUAGCUGUAAACGGUGCACGUUUGGUGUGGGAGGCAACCCCUUCCGUGCCGAAAGCUAAACGCGAUAAAACGUGCCGCCUGGGUAGUACGGUCGCAAGACUAAAACUCAAAGAAAUUGACGGGGACCCGCACAAGCGGUGGAGUAUGUGGCUUAAUUCGAUGCAACGCGAAGAACCUUACCAGGGCUUGACAUGUAUUGUAACCCCGGGUGAAAGCCGGGCAGCAUGGAAACAUGCGCUUUACACAGGUGCUGCAUGGCUGUCGUCAGCUCGUGUCGUGAGAUGUUGGGUUAACGUCCCGCAACGAGCGCAACCCUUAUGAUUUGUUGCCACC
RNAcentral lists this ribosomal RNA (356 nucleotides) under uncultured bacterium. Its description in RNAcentral is "bacterial SSU rRNA". It matches the Rfam family "Bacterial small subunit ribosomal RNA", at positions 775 to 1122 of the family's 1533-position model. The record is from RNAcentral.